GGGUAUGUAGUUUAGUUUAUAGAACGCCGGCCUUGUAACCCGGAAGGGAGUGUUCUCUUUACCCUC
Molecule: transfer RNA, 66 nt
Filed under: Cerastoderma edule
Lineage: Eukaryota; Metazoa; Mollusca; Bivalvia; Cardiida; Cardiidae
Description: tRNA-Thr
Rfam family: tRNA
About the family: Transfer RNA (tRNA) molecules are approximately 80 nucleotides in length. Their secondary structure includes four short double-helical elements and three loops (D, anti-codon, and T loops).
Source: RNAcentral